Molecule: long non-coding RNA, 606 nt
Filed under: Homo sapiens (human)
Lineage: Eukaryota; Metazoa; Chordata; Mammalia; Primates; Hominidae
Description: long non-coding RNA NONHSAT213043.1
Source: RNAcentral
CACCCUCGCCAAGUGUCUGAAAGCCCAGCGGCAGCCUGGCUCCUUCCCUCACCAACUCAUUCAUUCAUUGCCUGACCCCAUUUCCCAAGCUGGUGACCACGGCUGGUCAGGACUCGCUUCUAAAGGGCGCGGGGUCUGGCUUCCUCACCAGCAGCCACAGGGCACAGCUCCCGGACCAGCCGGCAGCCCCUCCCAAGGAGGAGGUUAUUCUGGAGACAAAGGCAGCGCCCUGAGGUAGAGUAUGAUCCUGUGUCCAUCAACACUUCCUAACGUGCAUGUAGAAGCUAAAAUUGUUAAGAUUUGCGAAAUACUUUUACCUCGAAGUUGGCAGUGACAUCAUUCUGUUUUUUCCUGGGUGCGGAGGAGUAAUUUCAGAAGGAGACAUUUUGUAAAAUUAAAAGAGGCAUGAGCUCCUCCUUCCUGGCAACCUGGGGGAUCACAAAGACAGACGGCACCUCCCCAGGCACCUGCGCCUGUGUCCGACGGCAAAGCCAUUGUCAAGCGAACCUGAUGCUGUCACUGGUCACCCGGAGCCCAUCAGCAUGUUGACCCGGGGCCCAUCAGCAUGUUGAAGGAAAGGCAUCAUCACAUUUUAUGAAUGACAGA